RNAcentral lists this long non-coding RNA (1028 nucleotides) under Pan troglodytes (chimpanzee). RNAcentral describes it as "long non-coding RNA NONPTRT014365". The record is from RNAcentral. Lineage: Eukaryota; Metazoa; Chordata; Mammalia; Primates; Hominidae.
UUUAGCCUCUGCUCUCUGAGACUUCAGCCAGGUGCAAAGAGCAGAUACAGAGCUGAAGGUGAGGUUGAGUUACUUACAUCCAGCGGUACCAGAAUGUGCCUGGGAAUCAUGGGGGUGAAAAAUUAACUCUGACUGAGGCAGGUAUCUCUGAUGCUUUCUGGAAGGAGGAUGGGGUCUGUGCCAGGCCUUGGAUGUGGGAGAAGGAGGAGCUGUCAGGAAGCAGCAGUGGCCUCAGCAACGGCACUGUUGUGAGGAACGCGGGCUGUGUUUGGGGAACAGCCAGGGGUUUUGUGUGGCAGGUUUACAGCACCUGUAGGAGACUGCAUUGGCAAAUAAAAACCGCAGUUUAAACUCUGAGUUUCAAUCAGAAACUAACAGCUCUUGGAUUUCCCGGGGCUCACACUCCUCUGAAACAACUCACGAAGAGCCUGAGGAAGCAGUUCUCACUGGAAAAUGCAAGAAAGUAUGUUCUGAUGAAGACCCUUAGCUCUGUUCAUUUUCAUGAUGCAAAUGCCCACAAAGGUGGUUUUGACCUGACUGACCCUGUGCGAGGAGGCACAGUCUCCUCACCAGCAUAAGCACGUGGCAUCAGAUGCGGAGACAGUUUUGGACGUGGAUGGAUGUUUACACACUGAGACUCCUUCAGUGUCCCUUCAAGAAAAUGUGGACACAGUGUCUCUGAAGCCUGUUAGUGACCAUAGAAUUAAUUUCACUAAUACCUUUCGGUCACCGACUCCUGAAAAGAGAACAUGUGAAUAUCAUGAGUCCGUUGAAAAAAGACAGUAAGUGGGCUUGAAAAAACAGAAUAAAAGAAACACAAGUUUUCAUUUUGAUCAAGGUUAAAAGGAUGCCGUUAAGGAACAGCUGCCUUCCACCUGAAUGAGCCACUAGAUGCUAAAACACUUUUGCUUGUCUGUAAACAUGUGACUACAAUUAGGUUUAUAUUUCUUUGAAGAAACUGUAUUGUGUUAUCUAAAUUUGUAACGUCACAUUUGAGAGACUCAGUGAUUAAAAACAGCUAUUUUCAC